GUAGUCUCGCACAGAUGCAUAUCAAUAAGCGGAGGAAAAGAAACUAACAAGGAUUCCCCUAGUAACGGCGAGUGAAGCGGGAAGAGCUCAAAUUUGAAAUCUUAAAGGGUUUCCCUUUACGAAUUGUAGUUUAAAGAAGUGUUUUCUGUUGAGGUUUUGGUAAAAGUUCUUUGGAAUAGGACAUCAUAGAGGGUGAGAAUCCCGUAUUUGACCUUUACUUUCAACUUUGUGAUACACUUUCAAAGAGUCGGAUUGUUUGGGAAUGCAGUCCAAAAUGGGUGGUAAAUUUCAUCUAAAGCUAAAUAUUGGCGAGAGACCGAUAGCGAACAAGUACCGUGAGGGAAAGAUGAAAAGAACUUUGAAAAGAGAGUUAAACAGUACGUGAAAUUGUCAAAAGGGAAGCGUUUGACACCAGUGUUGUUUUUCUGAAAAUCAAUUAAAGAACUGUUUAUGCUAAGCUGUUUAGACUUUAUCAGCUAUACUGUUUAGUUUUGAGCUUUUCUUUAAUGCACUUUUCAGUUAACAAGUCAACAUCAAUUUCUUUUGCUGUAAAAAAGCUUGAGGAAGGUGGCUUGAGAUUCGUCUUAAGUGUUUAUAGCCUCUUGCCUAUGCAGUCGGAGAGAUUGAGGUCUGCAGCGUAGAUCCUUCGGGACUAAAUGCAUUUGUGCUAAGUUAUAGCAUUUUAUAGACAACUUGUUGACUAUGAUUUGUCUUGUAGCUUACUCGCUUAUGUUAUUUUACCUACGCUUAGGAUGUUGAACUACUGAGACAUAGA
RNAcentral lists this ribosomal RNA (775 nucleotides) under uncultured Neocallimastigales. RNAcentral describes it as "partial large subunit ribosomal RNA". It matches the Rfam family "Eukaryotic large subunit ribosomal RNA", at positions 24 to 644 of the family's 3401-position model. Lineage: Eukaryota; Fungi; Neocallimastigomycota; Neocallimastigomycetes; Neocallimastigales. The record is from RNAcentral.